Molecule: unclassified non-coding RNA, 253 nt
Filed under: uncultured Caryophanales bacterium
Lineage: Bacteria; Bacillati; Bacillota; Bacilli; Caryophanales
Description: uncultured Bacillales bacterium contains 16S-23S intergenic spacer region
Rfam family: Bacterial small subunit ribosomal RNA
Source: RNAcentral
UACGUAGGAGGCAAGCGUUGUCCGGAAUUAUUGGGCGUAAAGCGCGCGCAGGCGGCCUCGAAAGUCUGAAGUGAAAGCCCCCGGCUCAACCGGGGAGCGGCAUUGGAAACUGGGAGGCUUGAGUAUAGGAGAGAAGAGUGGAAUUCCACGUGUAGCGGUGAAAUGCGUAGAGAUGUGGAGGAACACCAGUGGCGAAGGCGGCUCUUUGGCCUAUAACUGACGCUGAGGCGCGAAAGCGUGGGGAGCAAGCAUG